UACGAAGGGGGCUAGCGUUGCUCGGAAUUACUGGGCGUAAAGGGCGCGUAGGCGGACAGUUUAGUCAGAGGUGAAAGCCCAGGGCUCAACCUUGGAAUUGCCUUUGAUACUGGCUGUCUUGAGUACGGGAGAGGUGUGUGGAACUCCGAGUGUAGAGGUGAAAUUCGUAGAUAUUAGGAAGAACACCAGUGGCGAAGGCGGCUCACUGGUCCGGUACUGACGCUGAGGUGCGAAAGCGUGGGGAGCAAACAGG
RNAcentral lists this ribosomal RNA (253 nucleotides) under uncultured bacterium. RNAcentral's name for it is "partial 16S ribosomal RNA". It matches the Rfam family "Bacterial small subunit ribosomal RNA", at positions 524 to 776 of the family's 1533-position model. The record is from RNAcentral.